Non-coding RNA from Acanthosepion pharaonis, 113 nucleotides. NCBI's taxonomy places the organism in Eukaryota, Metazoa, Mollusca, Cephalopoda, Sepiida, Sepiidae. The record is from the annotation of a GenBank genome assembly.
UUACGGUCACAUCACAUUAAAAUACCGGUUCCCAUACGAUCACCAAAGUUAAGCAACAUCAAACCUGGUGAGUACCUAGAUGGGUGACUGCAUGGGAAUACCAGGUGUUGUAA